UACGUAGGUGGCAAGCGUUGUCCGGAAUUAUUGGGCGUAAAGCGCGCGCAGGCGGUCCUUUAAGUCUGAUGUGAAAUCCCACGGCUCAACCGUGGAACUGCCUUAGAUACUGACGGCCUCGAGGGAGAUAGGGGCGAGCGGAACUGUGAGUGGAGCGGUGAAAUGCGUAGAUAUCUGGAGGAACACCGGUGGCGAAGGCGGCAUCCUGGACCAUUACUGACACUGAAAAGCGAAAGCCAGGGGAGCAAACGGG
RNAcentral lists this ribosomal RNA (253 nucleotides) under uncultured bacterium. RNAcentral describes it as "partial 16S ribosomal RNA". It matches the Rfam family "Bacterial small subunit ribosomal RNA", at positions 524 to 776 of the family's 1533-position model. The record is from RNAcentral.